CCUACGGGUGGCUGCAGUGGGGAAUAUUGGACAAUGGGGGGAACCCUGAUCCAGCCAUGCCGCGUGUGUGAAGAAGGCCCUCGGGUUGUAAAGCACUUUCAGUGAGGAAGAACGCCUGGUGGUUAAUACCCAUCAGGAAAGACAUCACUCACAGAAGAAGCACCGGCUAACUCCGUGCCAGCAGCCGCGGUAAUACGGAGGGUGCGAGCGUUAAUCGGAAUUACUGGGCGUAAAGCGCGCGUAGGUGGCUUGAUAAGCCGGUUGUGAAAGCCCCGGGCUCAACCUGGGAACGGCAUCCGGAACUGUCAAGCUAGAGUGCAGAAGAGGAAGGUAGAAUUCCCGGUGUAGCGGUGAAAUGCGUAGAGAUCGGGAGGAAUACCAGUGGCGAAGGCGGCCUUCUGGACUGACACUGACACUGAGGUGCGAAAGCGUGGGUAGCAAACAGGAUUAGAUACCCGGGUAGUC
Molecule: ribosomal RNA, 465 nt
Filed under: Vreelandella stevensii
Lineage: Bacteria; Pseudomonadati; Pseudomonadota; Gammaproteobacteria; Oceanospirillales; Halomonadaceae
Description: partial 16S ribosomal RNA
Rfam family: Bacterial small subunit ribosomal RNA
Source: RNAcentral